RNAcentral lists this ribosomal RNA (1130 nucleotides) under Endoconidiophora coerulescens. Its description in RNAcentral is "eukaryotic LSU rRNA". It matches the Rfam family "Eukaryotic large subunit ribosomal RNA", at positions 1 to 1155 of the family's 3401-position model. Lineage: Eukaryota; Fungi; Ascomycota; Sordariomycetes; Microascales; Ceratocystidaceae. The record is from RNAcentral.
AGGUUGACCUCGGAUCAGGUAGGAAUACCCGCUGAACUUAAGCAUAUCAAUAAGCGGAGGAAAAGAAACCAACAGGGAUUGCCUUAGUAGCGGCGAGCGAAGCGGCAACAGCUCAAAUUUGAAAUCUGGCUACUUUGUAGUCCGAGUUGUAAUUUGCAGAGGAUGCUUUUGGUGAGGUGCCUUCCGAGUUCCCUGGAACGGGACGCCAGAGAGGGUGAGAGCCCCGUACGGUUGGACACCAAACCUUUGUAUAGCUCCUUCAACGAGUCGAGUAGUUUGGGAAUGCUGCUCUAAAUGGGAGGUAUAUCUCUUCUAAAGCUAAAUACCGGCUAGAGACCGAUAGCGCACAAGUAGAGUGAUCGAAAGAUGAAAAGCACUUUGAAAAGAGAGUUAAACAGCACGUGAAAUUGUUGAAAGGGAAGCGCCUAUGACCAGACUUGUUUCUGUCAGUUUUGCUUGUUUUCGGACUUGUUUACUCUGUCAGUACAGGCCAACAUCAGUUUGUUGUUUGGGAGAAAGGCUUAGGGAAUGUGGCUCCCUCGGGAGUGUUAUAGCCCUUUGCAUAAUACCAUUCGGCAGACUGAGGACCGCGCUUCGGCAAGGAUGUUGGCGUAAUGGUCAUCAGCGACCCGUCUUGAAACACGGACCAAGGAGUCAACCUUAUGUGCGAGUGCUUGGGUGUAAAACCCCAGCGCGUAAUGAACGUGAACGUAGGUGAGAGCUUCGGCGCAUCAUCGACCGAUUCUGAUGUUCUCGGAUGGAUUUGAGUAAGAGCAUAUAGGGUUGGACCCGAAAGAAGGUGAACUAUGCUUGUAUAGGGUGAAGCCAGAGGAAACUCUGGUGGAGGCUCGCAGCGGUUCUGACGUGCAAAUCGAUCGUCAAAUAUGAGCAUGGGGGCGAAAGACUAAUCGAACCUUCUAGUAGCUGGUUCCAGCCGAAGUUUCCCUCAGGAUAGCAGUGUUGAACUUCAGUUUUAUGAGGUAAAGCGAAUGAUUAGGGACUCGGGGGCGCUAUAUUGCCUUCAUCCAUUCUCAAACUUUAAAUAUGUAAGAAGCCCUUGUUACUUAAUUGAACGUGGGCAUUCGAAUGUAUCAACACUAGUGGGCCAUUUUUGGUAAGCAGAACUGGCG